RNAcentral lists this ribosomal RNA (510 nucleotides) under uncultured bacterium. RNAcentral describes it as "bacterial SSU rRNA". It matches the Rfam family "Bacterial small subunit ribosomal RNA", at positions 21 to 518 of the family's 1533-position model. The record is from RNAcentral.
GGCUUAGGAUGAACGCUAGCGACAGGCUUAACACAUGCAAGUCGAGGGGCAGUCACGGGAGUAGCAAUACAACUGGUGGCGACCGGCGCACGGGUGAAGUAACGCGUAUGCAACCUACCUAUCAGAGGGGAAUAACCCGGCGAAAGUCGGACUAAUACCGCAUAAAACAGGGGCACCGCAUGGUGAUAUUUGUUAAAGAAAUUCGCUGAUAGAUGGGCAUGCGUUCCAUUAGGUAGUUGGUGAGGUAACGGCUCACCAAGCCGACGAUGGAUAGGGGAACUGAGAGGUUGGUCCCCCACACUGGUACUGAGACACGGACCAGACUCCUACGGGAGGCAGCAGUGAGGAAUAUUGGUCAAUGGGCGGGAGCCUGAACCAGCCAAGUCGCGUGAAGGAAAAGAAGGAUCUAUGGUUCGUAAACUUCUUUUGCAGGGGAAUAAAGUGCAGGACGUGUCCUGUUUUGUAUGUACCCUGAGAAUAAGGAUCGGCUAACUCCGUGCCAGCAGCAGC